UGCUCUUUCCCAUUUUAGGCGGGGAGGAAGGGAGCGGGAGUGGUCGCUGCGUCUCCCGGGGGGCUCUGCCGUCUCUCGGGCUAGGGGAUGGGCUCCGUGGGACUUCCUCCUUCCGGUUGAAGGCUCCGUCUUCUCUCCUGUCCGGAGGCGAUGGUGGCUGUAGCGAGCGGGUAGCGUUUCUCCUCCCUUGGCGCGGUUAUGGCGCAGCAGCCGGGGGGGGAGGGGGAAGCUCGACGAAGCCGGACCCGGAAGUGAAGGGACCUCUGAGGAGCCGCUCACCUAGCCCAGGGCCGCGACGGAGGAGGAGGAGGAGGGGGAGGUGGUAGCAGCCCGCGGUGAUGUCUGGGCCACGGAGGCGGGGCCGUACGGGAGGCGGCCGGGUACGGCAGCGUAAGUCGGUCGGCGCAGCCCCGUGAGGAUUGGACCCGCAGCUCCGGUGAAUAGCCAGAGUGCAGCUUUCCUUUACACCCCUGCUGGUUCCAUUGGCCUGGAACAGCGAACUGCGGCCACAGGGAGCAGAGGGGCUUUAUGCCUGCAGAUGUUCCAGGCAAGAAGAAACAUGCCUGCUGUACAAGACUUGAGCCAUACGUUGUUGAAUGCAUACGUGAUCGGCUGAAGAUGCCACUGGAUUACUUUCUUUUUAUUCUUCCUUCCAACAUUUCAGGUAAUUGUUUGUUUCUGAAUCACUUUCAUCUUAAAAACCCCAGGCUAGAUUUGCCUCAUAACUAAUUACUUCAAAUAAUACACUUCUAGUUGCCAAAACAAUAGACAAAGUAAACUUUGUACAGUUUAUUCUAUUCUGGACUUGUAAAAUGGAGUUUUGAACCUACUAAAUAAAAUUCUAUUGCUUACCUUA
Gopherus evgoodei (Goodes thornscrub tortoise) is the source of this 856-nucleotide long non-coding RNA. RefSeq lists it as uncharacterized. The record is from RefSeq and is a predicted model, not a curated record. Lineage: Eukaryota; Metazoa; Chordata; Testudines; Testudinidae. The transcript is spliced from 3 exons.